RNAcentral lists this unclassified non-coding RNA (845 nucleotides) under Leishmania donovani. Its description in RNAcentral is "gene:unknown". The record is from RNAcentral. Lineage: Eukaryota; Euglenozoa; Kinetoplastea; Trypanosomatida; Trypanosomatidae.
UUUUCCUUUCUCGUUUUUUUCGUCCCACACAUCAGUCACACCCUUCCCCGAUGGCGCCGGCCGCCUCCCUGUGGUAUCAGGGUCCAAUGCCCACUCUGCACGGAAGCCAAGAGCCUGGCGUCUGCACUCGGGUACAGCUGACGGACUCUUGGCGUCGGCGGACAGGUCUGGGCUGGCGCUGCGCCGAAGAGGCUUGCGGUCAUGGCCGCUACGAUUGGGCCAGCUUGCUACGAGUCGUGUCGUCGAUUCGACAAACAUAUGCAUCCACCCCCUGCUUUUCUGCCUUAGCUGCGUUGCGGUAAUGCUGAGCGUAGUCUUUGGCCUGGCCUGCGCUGUACGCGGUAGCACUGCAAUGGGCUGCGCGGCACCAAGCGGCGCUGGUUGGGCCGGUUCCUUAACAUAGCCGCCGUGCAGCAGAGGUAAGCGAGCUGUGGUUGCAUGCGUAGAAAUACACAUAUAUAUAUAUAUAUAUUGUUGGCGUGCUUGUAGUGGUAGUAGAGACUUUGAGGGAAUAACAAAACUUCCAGCCGCGAGGUUUGAUGACUGCUCUUCUCUUUUUCCCGCUGCUUCUCCUUAGAAAUCGUGUGCCCUCUUGUAGCGGGUCUCCGCUAUUUCUUUCGGAUGGCUUUUGACGGCGACGUACAGGUGCAUAUAUAUAUAUGUGUGUGUGUGUAGGUGGGGGGGGGCGUAGUAGCUCCCUUUCCCUCUCCUAGGCUGGGGAGGAUGUUAACAGGCUUUACGAUCUUGUUUGUGAGCUCAACUCAGUCCCAGCCAACCAGCCCCGCCAUUCUGGCCACCGUGAGAGACAUGAUUAACAAGGAAUAGUGAACCCUGUAUUCUCGUAG